CUGCGCUGCUCAAUGCUUGCAUCCUGCAGUGUAGCCACGGAAGCAUUGUUCGCAAAUGAACAACAUUCAGGUUUGCAUAUUAUUCAGAUUUCCGAUACACUCUUAUACAAUGUGCUGUUACUGCAUCACUCAUGUAUUUUAUUGCUCUGUCAUGAUGUGGUGAAUUGUUUCCUUUGUUUCUGGUGUAUUUUCUCUUUGUAAAGCUGUAUUUGUCCAAGCCCAUUGGUUGUAUCUGUAAUUUAAUUUUGAGUUAUAUAAUUGCCAUAGAGUGACUUUGCUUUCUGGUUUUCUACUCUUUUUAACAGAAAGGAUCUUGAGACAAAUCGGUUAGUUUGUUACAAUUAAAGACUACUGAAAGUGCUAACCGCUUACGAAACAGCUUCUGCCUGUGUGGUACACUAUUACUGUUGCCUUGUUUCUCCUUUAGGCUUGCCUUUCCAUAUCAGGUUUAUUAAAGUGUUCUUCCCCUAUACUAAAUAGACAUACAUAUUGUUCACUUCAUAUUAUCCUAAUUGUUUAGGCUCCUUGGUUGUAUCUAUAAUCUUGCUUUUGGCUUCUAAAUUUUUCUCAUAAAGCUUCCCUCAUGUUGAUGCCUUCCUAUUGUUCUUCCCAGAAAAAAGUUACUAGGUUAGAUUAAUUGUUAACCUAAAAAACGUACUAAGUUUAGUAAAUAAAAUUGCCCAAUCUUUUUAUCUUCCAAAACUACUUCCAGGUGUAUUCGAGAGAAAAAACUACUUCCAGGUUUCACGAGUCCUCUGCUUUGUAUUAUGACUCAAUUUUUCCAUUAACAUUUCCCCAUACUCAGCGCCAGCUAGAUCUGCUCUCCAUUGCAUUUAAAUCAUUGCUACAUACAUUCUCCUGCCAGGGUACCUAUUCUCUGUCCUUUUCCAGAUAUCAUUUCAAAUAACAAACCUUUUACCACUUCUCUUUUCUUUUUCUUUUACUUCUGAGGGCUACCAUUGCUUCCGGAGAAAGAAGUCUCACUAUCUUAUUGAGUGCUACGCUGAAGAAUCUAUCAUUGCAGUUGUGUCAAAUGUUAAUCCCAUCAGUAUACGCACAGCUGGUUUGCAUAAGUAAUUCAUAGUGACCAUUACAGUUCUACAUUUUUAGAUCAAAUUGAGAAUACUGUUCAGUUCUAGAUAAAUCAAUUAAUUGACUAACUUACUAUCAACGAAGCAAUUAAUUGAUUAAUUCAUUAUCAACCAUGCAGGAAGAAGCUAACUUGAUUCGAGCUGCAUGCCUGCAUCUUGGCGUUCCAACAUUACUCUCUUUGGGGGCUCUCCUGUUCCAUCAGGCGUUCCAACAGCACUAAACAUGGUCAUCACCAAACAAUAAAUAUAACUACUUACUUUCUUAGCUCUCUUGCCCUUCAGUAGUACCUGAUCUCUGUUAUAUUGAACUGUAUAUUUCAUUCUGUCGUAUCAGUACUAUAUUGAACCUCUGUACAAUUGGUUACUACCUAAAACUUGAGUAUUGGAUCUAUCAUAUCAAUGUUUCUUUCUA
Molecule: long non-coding RNA, 1503 nt
Organism: Panicum virgatum (switchgrass)
Lineage: Eukaryota; Viridiplantae; Streptophyta; Magnoliopsida; Poales; Poaceae
Exons: 2
Source: RefSeq, a predicted model, not a curated record